RNAcentral lists this ribosomal RNA (1024 nucleotides) under Kellermania crassispora. Its description in RNAcentral is "SSU rRNA". It matches the Rfam family "Eukaryotic small subunit ribosomal RNA", at positions 74 to 1106 of the family's 1831-position model. Lineage: Eukaryota; Fungi; Ascomycota; Dothideomycetes; Botryosphaeriales; Planistromellaceae. The record is from RNAcentral.
CUAUACUGUGAAACUGCGAAUGGCUCAUUAAAUCAGUUAUCGUUUAUUUGAUAGUACCUUACUACUUGGAUAACCGUGGUAAUUCUAGAGCUAAUACAUGCUAAAAACCCCGACUUCGGAAGGGGUGUAUUUAUUAGACAAAAAACCAAUGCCCUUCGGGGCUCCUUGGUGAAUCAUGAUAACUUAACGAAUCGCAUGGCCUUGAGCCGGCGAUGGUUCAUUCAAAUUUCUGCCCUAUCAACUUUCGAUGGUAGGAUAGUGGCCUACCAUGGUAUCAACGGGUAACGGGGAAUUAGGGUUCUAUUCCGGAGAGGGAGCCUGAGAAACGGCUACCACAUCCAAGGAAGGCAGCAGGCGCGCAAAUUACCCAAUCCCGACACGGGGAGGUAGUGACAAUAAAUACUGAUACAGGGCUCUUUUGGGUCUUGUAAUUGGAAUGAGUACAAUUUAAAUACCUUAACGAGGAACAAUUGGAGGGCAAGUCUGGUGCCAGCAGCCGCGGUAAUUCCAGCUCCAAUAGCGUAUAUUAAAGUUGUUGCAGUUAAAAAGCUCGUAGUUGAACCUUGGGCCUGGCUGGCCGGUCCGCCUCACCGCGUGCACUGGUCCGGCCGGGCCUUUCCUUCUGGGGAUCCCCAUGCCCUUCACUGGGUGUGGCGGGGAACCAGGACUUUUACUUUGAAAAAAUUAGAGUGUUCAAAGCAGGCCUUUGCUCGAAUACAUUAGCAUGGAAUAAUAGAAUAGGACGUGCGGUCCUAUUUUGUUGGUUUCUAGGACCGCCGUAAUGAUUAAUAGGGAUAGUCGGGGGCAUCAGUAUUCAAUUGUCAGAGGUGAAAUUCUUGGAUUUAUUGAAGACUAACUACUGCGAAAGCAUUUGCCAAGGAUGUUUUCAUUAAUCAGUGAACGAAAGUUAGGGGAUCGAAGACGAUCAGAUACCGUCGUAGUCUUAACCGUAAACUAUGCCGACUAGGGAUCGGGCGAUGUUAUUAUUUUGACUCGCUCGGCACCUUACGAGAAAUCAAAGUUU